RNAcentral lists this ribosomal RNA (434 nucleotides) under uncultured Ruminococcus sp. RNAcentral describes it as "partial 16S ribosomal RNA". It matches the Rfam family "Bacterial small subunit ribosomal RNA", at positions 341 to 792 of the family's 1533-position model. The record is from RNAcentral. Lineage: Bacteria; Bacillati; Bacillota; Clostridia; Eubacteriales; Oscillospiraceae.
ACGGGAGGCAGCAGUGGGGAAUAUUGCACAAUGGGCGCAAGCCUGAUGCAGCGAUGCCGCGUGAGGGAAGAAGGUUUUCGGAUUGUAAACCUCUGUCAACAGGGACGAUAAUGACUGUACCUGUGAAGGAAGCUCCGGCUAACUACGUGCCAGCAGCCGCGGUAAUACGUAGGGAGCAAGCGUUAUCCGGAAUUACUGGGUGUAAAGGGAGUGUAGGCGGGACUGUAAGUCAGAUGUGAAAUAUGCCGGCUCAACUGGCAGACUGCAUUUGAAACUGUCCAGCUAGAGUGCAGGAGAGGCAGGCGGAAUUCCUAGUGUAGCGGUGAAAUGCGUAGAUAUUAGGAGGAACACCAGUGGCGAAGGCGGCCUACUGGACUGUAACUGACGUUGAGGCUCGAAAGCGUGGGGAGCAAACAGGAUUAGAUACCCUGGUA